This 231-nucleotide unclassified non-coding RNA is filed under the name Hevea brasiliensis (rubber tree). Lineage: Eukaryota; Viridiplantae; Streptophyta; Magnoliopsida; Malpighiales; Euphorbiaceae. The record is from RNAcentral.
GUCGGCCAAAAUAUGGUGUCUACACUGAGUCAACACAUUAUUAAAAUUGUUCAUAUCAUUAUGGUGAAGCUUACUAAGAAUUGCACCCACCCUAAAUAAACAGCAAGUGAUUUCUAGAACUUGCAACCAACCUUGAGCACCACAUUGAUUACAAUUAAGAAAUUAUUCUUUUCCUUUGUCCCCCCUUGUUGGAAUACAAUUUUAAAAAUUACAAGCAACUCUAAUAUUGGA